RNAcentral lists this ribosomal RNA (464 nucleotides) under uncultured bacterium. Its description in RNAcentral is "partial 16S ribosomal RNA". It matches the Rfam family "Bacterial small subunit ribosomal RNA", at positions 29 to 507 of the family's 1533-position model. The record is from RNAcentral.
ACGAACGCUGGCGGCGUGCUUAACACAUGCAAGUCGUACGGUAAGGCCCUUUCGGGGGUACACGAGUGGCGACCGGGUGAGUAACACGUGAGUAACCUGCCCACAACUUUGGGAUAACGCUAGGAAACUGGUGCUAAUACUGGAUAUGUGCUCCUGCUGCAUGGUGGGGGUUGGAAAGCUCCGGCGGUUGUGGAUGGACUCGCGGCCUAUCAGCUUGUUGGUGGGGUAGUGGCCUACCAAGGCGGCGACGGGUAGCCGGCCUGAGGGGGUGACCGGCCACAUUGGGACUGAGAUACGGCCCAGACUCCUACGGGAGGCAGCAGUGGGGAAUAUUGCACAAUGGGCGCAAGCCUGAUGCAGCAACGCCGCGUGCGGGAUGACGGCCUUCGGGUUGUAAACCGCUUUCAGCAGGGACGAAGCUUUUUGUGACGGUACCUGCAGAAGAAGCACCGGCUAACUACGUG